CCCAGCCAUCUGCUCACGCUGGCAGCAGUAGGCAGGCAGGCAGCCUCCUGCCACCCUUGUCCUCAUGCUGCUGGGGGACAGCAGUGCUGCUAUCUCCCCUCCAUCCCCCUGUCCCUGGGUGUUUUCCUGCUGCUGGCAGGGCAGAAGGAUGGAAGGAUGUUCCUUCACCAGGAUGACAGCUGUCCAAAAACACCUCUGUCAGCCGAGUCCCCACCUCCAGCAUCACCCUCUGGAUUUCAGCCGCCCUUCUACGGCCUCUGUGCAGCCCUGCAGGGAGAGACCCUCAAGCAAGCUCCAAAUCCUCACCCCAAACUGUUUUCCUACCCAGAGGAGCAGGAUGAAGCCUGGAGAGCAGCCUGGCAGUUUUAUUUCAAGCCCUGCAUGAACUUGGCACACAUGAAGAUAAGAGGACAGAGCCAGGCACGAACACGGCGAUAUCCCCCCCAGCUGCCCUCAGCAGCCACGGAAAGCUUGGCUAAACCCUAACCCACAGCAGCCUGGCUAAUCCAGCCUGCCUAGUCCAGCCUGGCUAAUCCAGCCCUCCCAAAGCCCCGGCGCUGAGCCGAGCCUCCGGGCCCGUCGCUGCCCAUCCCUCCGGCACCGCUCCCAGCCCAGCAGGAGCACACCAGUUGCCAGCUCUCAAACCUCUCCCUUCCCACCGAGGGAGAGUUUCCUCUGCCUGGAGGACGCUGCUGCAGCACCGUCCAGGCCCCUGGAUAAGUCAAUAGUGCCAUUCCUGUUUCCCGUUUGCCGAAAUACACUGGAUCUUUGUGCGGCGGAGGCGGAAAAAAUAUUAAUCUAAUUAGACUCCCUCCCUAAAAUUCCUCGUCACCUUAAUUACGCUUCAGAAAAGAAGGCUUGGUUCAUUUUCCUAGAAAAUCAGCUUGUCAGGAGACGCUUUCAACUCCUUAACAAGACCGAUCUGUGCUUCGCGACGCGUCCUCAAACCCUCGCCGGGAGCUGCGGGGAGCGACAGAUCCCGAAUUCCCGCCGGGAUAACGACCUUGCCCAACACGGUUAUGGUCUCUGCCAGCCUCCCAAAAGCCACCAAACUUUACGGGGCUGCCCUUCCGAGCUCUACCCUCGAGCACAUCCUUUCACACCCGGAGAACAAACGCGGGGGGCUGCGCUUUGCCACCGCCGGAGGAUGACAAAGGACGAAGUGCUGAGGUGCCGAGGAUGUCUAAGAGUUGUGGAGUGGGUGUGCGGGGGGAAUGCACAGCGGAAAGGCUGAGUUUGAUCACAGGAGUCCUAACGAGAGAGGGCAGCAGGAGAGACGUGCCUCUGCUUCGUGUCUGUGGCAGGGAUUGCUAGCGGAAGGGCUGGAUUUAAGUGCAUCUCAAUCACAAGAUUGGGCUGCGCACAGGAAACUUUGAACAGCCAUACGAAAAGACCACUCGGCUGCCCGGCCAUCAAUCGCUCAGCUUAUAAAAAUGCGG
RNAcentral lists this long non-coding RNA (1439 nucleotides) under Chloebia gouldiae (Gouldian finch). Its description in RNAcentral is "Erythrura gouldiae (Gouldian finch) lncRNA (ENSEGOG00005014779.1)". Lineage: Eukaryota; Metazoa; Chordata; Aves; Passeriformes; Passeridae. The record is from RNAcentral.